GCCUGGCUGGCUCAGUCAGUAGAGCAUGCGACUCUCAAUCUGAGGGUUGUGAGUUCAAGCCCCACAUUAGGUG
This 73-nucleotide transfer RNA is filed under the name Ailuropoda melanoleuca (giant panda). It matches the Rfam family "tRNA". Rfam says of the family: Transfer RNA (tRNA) molecules are approximately 80 nucleotides in length. Their secondary structure includes four short double-helical elements and three loops (D, anti-codon, and T loops). Lineage: Eukaryota; Metazoa; Chordata; Mammalia; Carnivora; Ursidae. The record is from Rfam by way of RNAcentral.